AUACGGAGGGUGCAAGCGUUACUCGGAAUCACUGGGCGUAAAGCGCGCGCAGGCGGUCUUUUAAGUUGGAUGUGAAAGCCUACGGCUCAACCGUAGAACUGCAUCCAAAACUAUUAGACUAGAGUGUGGGAGAGGAAGAUGGAAUUAGUUGUGUAGGGGUAAAAUCCGUAGAGAUAACUAGGAAUACCAAAAGCGAAGGCGAUCUUCUGGAACAGUACUGACGCUGAGGCGCGAAAGCGUGGGGAGCAAACAGGAUUAGAAACCCUUGUAGUCC
RNAcentral lists this ribosomal RNA (274 nucleotides) under uncultured bacterium. Its description in RNAcentral is "partial 16S ribosomal RNA". It matches the Rfam family "Bacterial small subunit ribosomal RNA", at positions 523 to 796 of the family's 1533-position model. The record is from RNAcentral.